UAAUUGUUCUCUUUUUUAUCUGUUGUAGUUUCCAUGGAAAUAAAUAGCAGGUUUUAAAUUUUGGAGCGACGUACGUAUAUGCAGCCCAAGACAAUUUCUAUUCACCAAAUGUAACCCAGGCAAGCCAAAAAGAUGGACACCCAUGACAUAACUGCAGUUGUUUGGAUAACUGGACAAAAGCACUGUUUUUGCAGUCACAAAGCACUGCUUCCAACUUGAAAUGACUUAUCAGCAUGCCUUGCCACUCCUGCAGCUUUGUGUAUUAAGUCUUCCAUUAUCCUGGAAUGCAGAUGGCCUGACUUGAGGUUUGAGUUUUCUUCAUCAUGGCUGACAACAAAUUAUUUAGCAUUCAGGAGGCUGUAACCUCACACUAUGACCACCAGGCUUUGGAGCUGCAGAUAUUUUUUCAAGUGGCUUUCCUUUUCCAGUAUGGCCAUAUAAAAUAAAUAAGAAAAGCUUUCAAAAAAAGUCAGCAUGAGCGUGUUACAGGUGGUUUCAGCUCAGAUGGAAAAAACAUGCAGAAGAUUAAUGAAUAAUUUAAGUUCAUUAACAGUUUAAUUUUUGGUGCCGCCUGGUUUCUGGCAUUCCAUUUUUCCCUCCGCCCCACUCUUCCGCACUGUGUGCUGGCCUUCCAUGUGACAGAGGGUGGGCUCCCUGGCUACCCUCCUCACAUCUUCCCUGCAUUGCUACAUCACUGUUCCUGCUCGAGGAUCAGUCACCUGCAGCUGAAGCCAUGUAAAUUACUGCCUGGCCAUGUCAGAAAAGACAGACAGAAAAAUAUUUGUGAUUCCUGGUAUAAAGCAGAAAGAAAAAUAACAUGCCUCUAUUUGGCUUAUCAUCUGAACUGAUAGAGUUGUGAAGGUCAAAAUGCCACGGUACAACCUGCACAAUCUGUGCAACAUUGCUCAAUAGAAUCAACCACAGGAUAAUGAAAGAACAACUAGAUGAAUUAACAUAAAGGACGACCCUUCAGUUAUCCAAGUGAGAAUGUGCUAUGUACUACACAUAGCAAUGUUUUCCCAUUUACUCCUAGCAUGGAAGCUGCCCCCCAGCCCUCCAUCACUGCCGUGCGCUGGUGGUCCGCUAGCACUGGUGGGACAUCCUGCCUCCACCAGCAUCACCCUGCAGCUGCAGUGCCAGACACCACAAAGAGCUAAGCAGACUGAUGGGCACAGAACAUCAUUAAUCUUUGAUCCUUUCUGCUGCAAAUUCUCAGGCUGGUAUUUAGCAGUGAUCAAAUGGCAUCUAGCUGUUAUAUUUUUUCAGCUGGCAAGCCAGCACAGUGAGCUAACACCAGCUCGACAGCUCAAGACAAGCCCCACGUUCCACUUCACACAAUCAGCAGGAAGCCCGAUGUUUGUCUUUAAGAUGCAGACCCCACUCCUCGAGGCUGUUUCCCCACACACCCACAGCUCAAGCGAUUACUGAUGUGAAGCUUCAAAGAGAAGAAGCCCACAUUCACAGUCCACAUGCAGACUUGCAGACUAGCAAAGGAUCUGGUGGCACAAUGACAUUCAGCAUAUUCAAGCAAAGGCAGAGUGCAGGGAAUCUGUGGGAGCCCUUCCCUCCUGCACCUCUGGCAAAGAUCCCUCAGAGUAAUGGACAGGAACCAGGGCACGCUUGCUGCUGUGGGUAUGGAAGAGCUUCCACCAUUAUAAUAAAAAGUAAUAAUGCAGUAGCA
RNAcentral lists this long non-coding RNA (1681 nucleotides) under Numida meleagris (helmeted guineafowl). RNAcentral describes it as "lncRNA (ENSNMEG00000006681.1)". The record is from RNAcentral. Lineage: Eukaryota; Metazoa; Chordata; Aves; Galliformes; Numididae.